GUCUACGGCCAUGCUACCCUGAACACACCCGAUACUGUCUGAUCUCUGAAGCUAAGCCGGGUCAGGCCUGGUUAGUACUUGGAGGGGAGACCACCUGAGAAGAUCAGGUGCUGUAGGCG
This 119-nucleotide ribosomal RNA is filed under the name Pteropus alecto (black flying fox). Lineage: Eukaryota; Metazoa; Chordata; Mammalia; Chiroptera; Pteropodidae. The record is from RNAcentral.